This 219-nucleotide long non-coding RNA is filed under the name Ananas comosus (pineapple). RNAcentral describes it as "long non-coding RNA (ACOM_LNC018217)". Lineage: Eukaryota; Viridiplantae; Streptophyta; Magnoliopsida; Poales; Bromeliaceae. The record is from RNAcentral.
UAAGUUCUAUGCCACUCGUCAUGUUAUCAUUCAGUAUACACAUGCCACUCGUUAUGUCGCUACAUAACUAUCAAGUUCAUCUCUUAUUCCGGCACCAUAGGAUUCCAACUUGUUAAGACCCAAUUCCUUAUAUGUCCACUAUAUCAUGUAUUCACCUCACACAAUGAUACCAACUAGGAAAGCAUAAGGAAAUGGAAAAUGCAACAACUACAAUCCUAC